CCUUGAUUGUCCGGUUCUUGCAGCAAGCGUAGCCCAAAAGGGCCAGUCUUCUAGAAUCUGGACACGGGAUCGAACUGAGGACCUUGCACUUACAAGGCAGGUGGCAGAACAUCGUUACUCUGCUGUCAUUCAAGUACGAGUCCUUCAAGCACGGAAGGGUUACAGCUCCACACCCUCCCACUAGUACUUUCUCCGCACACACAGUCACACCAAAGGAACGAAAGGCAAGUUUUUGUAGUGUACUGUCCUUCAGACCUGCACGGUUGGGCAUUUUCUCUCUUUUUCUCAGUUGCUUUCUAAGGUUUAAGUCUUGCAUAGAAUAGGUUUGUAGCAAAAGGCAGCUGGGAGACUCCUGCCCAAAGUUAACCUUAGAAAGUGCCCUGGGAAAAGAGAACAUGGCACCCCAGCCUCCUUGUGAAACGGGCCAUCCCAAGCUAGGCCAGUG
This 445-nucleotide long non-coding RNA is filed under the name Fukomys damarensis (Damara mole-rat). Its description in RNAcentral is "lncRNA (ENSFDAG00000033492.1)". Lineage: Eukaryota; Metazoa; Chordata; Mammalia; Rodentia; Bathyergidae. The record is from RNAcentral.